This 491-nucleotide ribosomal RNA is filed under the name uncultured bacterium. RNAcentral describes it as "partial 16S ribosomal RNA". It matches the Rfam family "Bacterial small subunit ribosomal RNA", at positions 29 to 506 of the family's 1533-position model. The record is from RNAcentral.
AGUGAACGCUGGCGGUAGGCCUAACACAUGCGAGUCGAACGGCAGCACAGUAAGAGCUUGCUCUUACGGGUGGCGAGUGGCGGACGGGUGAGGAAUACAUCGGAAUCUACUUUUUCGUGGGGGAUAACGUAGGGAAACUUACGCUAAUACCGCAUACGACCUACGGGUGAAAGCAGGGGAUCUUCGGACCUUGCGCGAUUGAAUGAGCCGAUGUCGGAUUAGCUAGUUGGCGGGGUAAAGGCCCACCAAGGCGACGAUCCGUAGCUGGUCUGAGAGGAUGAUCAGCCACACUGGAACUGAGACGCGGUCCAGACUCCUACGGGAGGCAGCAGUGGGGAAUAUUGGACAAUGGGCGCAAGCCUGAUCCAGCCAUACCGCGUGGGUGAAGAAGGCCUUCGGGUUGUAAAGCCCUUUUGUUGGGAAAGAAAAGCAGCAGGUUAAUACCCCGCUGUUCUGACGGUACCCAAAGAAUAAGCACCGGCUAACUUCGU